GUCAGGACGACCUGACACCAUAUGAGCUUUCCGGGACGACCCGA
RNAcentral lists this non-coding RNA (44 nucleotides) under Pacificibacter marinus. Its description in RNAcentral is "Guanidine-II sequence". It matches the Rfam family "Guanidine-II riboswitch aptamer (mini-ykkC)". Rfam says of the family: Simpler in structure and has fewer highly conserved nucleotide positions than the ykkC-yxkD leader. Despite this each of its two stem-loop structures directly bind free guanidine. The record is from RNAcentral. Lineage: Bacteria; Pseudomonadati; Pseudomonadota; Alphaproteobacteria; Rhodobacterales; Roseobacteraceae.